This 1491-nucleotide ribosomal RNA is filed under the name uncultured beta proteobacterium. RNAcentral describes it as "16S ribosomal RNA". It matches the Rfam family "Bacterial small subunit ribosomal RNA". The record is from RNAcentral. Lineage: Bacteria; Pseudomonadati; Pseudomonadota; Betaproteobacteria.
UGAGUUUGAUCCUGGCUCAGAUUGAACGCUGGCGGCAUGCCUUACACAUGCAAGUCGAACGGCAGCACGGGUGCUUGCACCUGGUGGCGAGUGGCGAACGGGUGAGUAAUACGUCGGAACAUGUCCUGUAGUGGGGGAUAGCCCGGCGAAAGCCGGAUUAAUACCGCAUACGAUCUACGGAUGAAAGCGGGGGACCUUCGGGCCUCUCGCUAUAGGGUUGGCCGAUGGCUGAUUAGCUAGUUGGUGGGGUAAAGGCCUACCAAGGCGACGAUCAGUAGCUGGUCUGAGAGGACGACCAGCCACACUGGGACUGAGACACGGCCCAGACUCCUACGGGAGGCAGCAGUGGGGAAUUUUGGACAAUGGGCGAAAGCCUGAUCCAGCAAUGCCGCGUGUGUGAAGAAGGCCUUCGGCUUGUAAAGCACUUUUGUCCGGAAAGAAAUCCUUGGCUCUAAUACAGUCGGGGGAUGACGGUACCGGAAGAAUAAGCACCGGCUAACUACGUGCCAGCAGCCGCGGUAAUACGUAGGGUGCGAGCGUUAAUCGGAAUUACUGGGCGUAAAGCGUGCGCAGGCGGUUUGCUAAGACCGAUGUGAAAUUCCCCGGGCUCAAACUGGGAACUGCAUUGGUGACUGGCAAGCUAGAGUAUGGCAGAGGGGGGUAGAAUUCCACGUUUAGCAGUGAAAUGGGUAGAGAUGUGGAGGAAUACCGAUGGCGAAAGGCAGCCCCCUGGGCCAAUACUGACGCUCAUGCACGAAAGCGUGGGGAGCAAGCAGGAUUAGAUACCCGGGUAGUCCACGCCCUAAACGAUGUCAACUAGUUGUUGGGGAUUCAUUUCCCUUAGUAACGUAGCUAACGCGUGAAGUUGACCGCCUGGGGAGUACGGUCGCAAGAUUAAAACUCAAAGGAAUUGACGGGGACCCGCACAAGCGGUGGAUGAUGUGGAUUAAUUCGAUGCAACGCGAAAAACCUUACCUACCCUUGACAUGGUCGGAAUCCUGCUGAGAGGCGGGAGUGCUCGAAAGAGAACCGGCGCACAGGUGCUGCAUGGCUGUCGUCAGCUCGUGUCGUGAGAUGUUGGGUUAAGUCCCGCAACGAGCGCAACCCUUGUCCUUAGUUGCUACGCAAGAGCACUCUAAGGAGACUGCCGGUGACAAACAGGAGGAAGGUGGGGAUGACGUCAAGUCCUCAUGGCCCUUAUGGGUAGGGCUUCACACGUCAUACAAUGGUCGGAACAGAGGGUUGCCAACCCGCGAGGGGGAGCUAAUCCCAGAAAACCGAUCGUAGUCCGGAUUGCACUCUGCAACUCGAGUGCAUGAAGCUGGAAUCGCUAGUAAUCGCGGAUCAGCAUGCCGCGGUGAAUACGUUCCCGGGUCUUGUACACACCGCCCGUCACACCAUGGGAGUGGGUUUUACCAGAAGUUGCUAGUCUAACCGCAAGGAGGACGGUCACCUUUGAAGGAUUCAUGACUGGGGUGAAGUCGUAACAAG